Molecule: ribosomal RNA, 396 nt
Filed under: uncultured bacterium
Lineage: Bacteria
Description: bacterial SSU rRNA
Rfam family: Bacterial small subunit ribosomal RNA
Source: RNAcentral
UAGUGCAAUCUGUAAGAUACGGAGUUCCUUCGGGGACGCUAAGACAGGUGGUGCAUGGCUGUCGUCAGCUCGUGUCGUGAGAUGUUGGGUUAAGUCCCGCAACGAGCGCAACCCUUGUUAUUAGUUGCCAGCAUUAAGUUGGGCACUCUAAUGAGACUGCCGGUGACAAACCGGAGGAAGGUGGGGAUGACGUCAAGUCAUCAUGCCCCUUAUGACCUGGGCUACACACGUGCUACAAUGGGCAGUACAACGAGAAGCAAGCCUGCGAAGGCAAGCGAAUCUCUGAAAGCUGUUCUCAGUUCGGACUGCAGUCUGCAACUCGACUGCACGAAGCUGGAAUCGCUAGUAAUCGCGGAUCAGCACGCCGCGGUGAAUACGUUCCCGGGUCUUGUACAC